UUCGGUUGAUCCUGCCGAAGGCUACUGCUAUUGGAGUUCGAUUAAGCCAUGCGAGUCUAAGGGGUACUUGUACCCCUGGCAUAAUGCUCAGUAACACGUGGAUAAUCUACCCUUAGGUGGGGCAUAAACCCGGGAAACUGGGGCCAAUUCCCCAUAGAUACAGAAGGCUGGAAUGCCCCUGUAUUCAAAGCUCCGGCGCCUAAGGAUGAGUCUGCGGCCUAUCAGGUAGUAGUCAGGGUCACGACCUGACUAGCCAACGACGGGUACGGGGUGUGAGAGCACUUGCCCGGAGAUGGUUUCUGAGACACGAAACCAGGCCCUACGGGGCGCAGCAGGCGCGAAAACUUCGCAAUGCGGGAAACCGUGACGAGGGAACUCCAAGUGUCUAUGCAAUGCAUAGACUGUUUUUCAGCCUAAAUAGCUGUUAGAGUAAGGGGUGGGUAAGACCGGUGCCAGCCGCCGCGGUAACACCGGCACCCCAAGUGGUAGCCACUAUUAUUGGGCCUAAAGCGUUCGUAGCCGGUUUAGUAAAUUCUUGGGUAAAUCGUACAGCUUAACUGUGCGGAUUCCGGGGACACUACUAGACUUGAGACCGGGAGAGAUUAGAGGUACUUGCAGGGGAGCGGUGAAAUGUUGUAAUCCUGCAGGGACCACCAGUGGCGAAGGCGUCUAAUCAUAACGGCUCUGACGGUGAGGAACGAAACCCUGGGGCGCAAACGGGAUUAGAUACCCCGGUAGUCCAGGGCGUAAACGCUGCUGACUUGGUGUUGGAGAUCCUACGAGGGUGUCCAGUGCUGGCGCGAAGGUAUUAAGUCAGCCGCCUGGGGAGUACGGUCGCAAGACUGAAACUUAAAGGAAUUGGCGGGGGAGCACUGCAACGUGUGGAGCGUGCGGUUUAAUUGGAUUCAACGCCGGAAAACUCACCGGGGGCGACGGUUACAUGAAGGCCAAGCUGAUGACUUUGCCUGAUUUUCCGAGAGGUGGUGCAUGGCCGCCGUCAGUUCGUACCGUAAGGCGUUCUGUUAAGUCA
Molecule: ribosomal RNA, 1030 nt
Filed under: marine metagenome
Description: bacterial SSU rRNA
Rfam family: Archaeal small subunit ribosomal RNA
Source: RNAcentral